UUCCAGACUCCUACGGGAGGCAGCAGUGAGGAAUAUUGGUCAAUGGACGCAAGUCUGAACCAGCCAUGCCGCGUGCAGGAUGACGGCUCUAUGAGUUGUAAACUGCUUUUGUACGAGGGUAAACCCCGAUACGUGUAUCGGGUUGAAAGUAUCGUACGAAUAAGGAUCGGCUAACUCCGUGCCAGCAGCCGCGGUAAUACGGAGGGUGCGAGCGUUAAUCGGAAUUACUGGGCGUAAAGCGCUCGUAGGCGGUAUGUCAAGUCAAGGGUGAAAUCCCCGCGCUCAACGUGGGAACUGCCUUUGAAACUGGCAAACUGGAGUGUGUGAGAGGAUAGUGGAAUUCCAGGUGUAGGAGUGAAAUCCGUAGAUAUCUGGAGGAACAUCAGUGGCGAAGGCGACUAUCUGGCACAUAACUGACGCUGAGGAGCGAAAGCGUGGGUAGCAAACAGGAUUAGAUACCCCAGUAU
Molecule: ribosomal RNA, 467 nt
Filed under: uncultured bacterium
Lineage: Bacteria
Description: partial 16S ribosomal RNA
Rfam family: Bacterial small subunit ribosomal RNA
Source: RNAcentral